This 840-nucleotide ribosomal RNA is filed under the name uncultured bacterium. RNAcentral describes it as "bacterial SSU rRNA". It matches the Rfam family "Bacterial small subunit ribosomal RNA", at positions 63 to 910 of the family's 1533-position model. The record is from RNAcentral.
CGAACGCUGAAGCCUGGUGCUUGCACCGGGUGGAUGAGUGGCGAACGGAUGAGUAACACGUGAGUAACCUGCCCCUGACUUCGGGAUAAGCCCGGGAAACUGGGUCUAAUACCGGAUACGACUGCCGGACGCAUGUCUGGUGGUGGAAAGUUUUUUCGGUUGGGGAUGGGCUCGCGGCCUAUCAGUUUGUUGGUGAGGUAAUGGCUCACCAAGACGACGACGGGUAGCCGGCCUGAGAGGGCGACCGGCCACACUGGGACUGAGACACGGCCCAGACUCCUACGGGAGGCAGCAGUGGGGAAUAUUGCACAAUGGGGGAAACCCUGAUGCAGCGACGCAGCGUGCGGGAUGACGGCCUUCGGGUUGUAAACCGCUUUCAGCAGGGAAGAAGCGCAAGUGACGGUACCUGCAGAAGAAGUACCGGCUAACUACGUGCCAGCAGCCGCGGUAAUACGUAGGGUACGAGCGUUGUCCGGAAUUAUUGGGCGUAAAGAGCUCGUAGGUGGUUGGUCACGUCUGCUGUGGAAACGCAACGCUUAACGUUGCGCGUGCAGUGGGUACGGGCUGACUAGAGUGCAGUAGGGGAGUCUGGAAUUCCUGGUGUAGCGGUGAAAUGCGCAGAUAUCAGGAGGAACACCGGUGGCGAAGGCGGGACUCUGGGCUGUAACUGACACUGAGGAGCGAAAGCAUGGGGAGCGAACAGGAUUAGAUACCCUGGUAGUCCAUGCCGUAAACGUUGGGCACUAGGUGUGGGGGGCAUUCCACGUUCUCCGCGCCGUAGCUAACGCAUUAAGUGCCCCGCCUGGGGAGUACGGUCGCAAGGCUAAAACUCAAAGGAAU